Molecule: long non-coding RNA, 558 nt
Organism: Juglans regia (Persian walnut)
Lineage: Eukaryota; Viridiplantae; Streptophyta; Magnoliopsida; Fagales; Juglandaceae
Exons: 2
Source: RefSeq, a predicted model, not a curated record
ACGAAGUAGGAACUGACGAUGAAACGAGAAUAGGGAAAGGGAGAUUGUAGCUACUGGAAGUUGUAGGAAUGGGCUGUUUGGGAUGAAUGAAAGUGGAGGUAAAUCUUUGGAUUUACAGUGUUAAAUUCUUCCCAAAGCCGCCCAUUCCGAUGAUUUCCGGCAGUUCCUCCCUUUCCCUUCUGUCUCUGUCUCUCUCUGUCUCUCUCUCUCUCUGGUUUCUGCUUGUGCCUUGUUAUGUAGCUGGUGGAAGUUGGUACGCAGUUUCCCGAUUCCCCACGGCAGAAAAAGGGAAAUGAAUGUAUAGAAUAGUCAUUAAAUCUUGGAUAUAGCAUGCCAUCUUAUUUAGCGUAUUGUAUGGUAUUUUUUAGAUCUAGGGCUCUCCGUACGUUCUUGUACAGAUACAUGAGUAGAUGAUCUUGUUUUGAUCUUUGUAAAAAUAAGAAAAGAUAAACAGGGAAAUGCUUAUUUAUACCGAAUAAGCAGCACCCGGGACAGUUCCUUUUCCUGUGAUUGUGAUUAUCAUAUGUCUGAUAUGCAAGCAAGUUCAGAAGAUAUAUA